UACGAAGGGGGCAAGCGUUACUCGGAAUUACUGGGCGUAAAGCGUGCGUAGGCGGCUUGAUAAGGUUGCGGUGAAAGCCCGGGGCUCAACCCCGGGUCGGCCGUGGCAACUGUCGAGCUGGAGCACUGUAGAGGCAGGUGGAAUUCCCGGUGUAGCGGUGAAAUGCGCAGAUAUCGGGAGGAACACCAAUGGCGAAGGCAGCUCGCUGGGACGUGACUGACGCUGAGACGCGAAAGCGUGGGGAGCAAACAGG
This 253-nucleotide ribosomal RNA is filed under the name uncultured bacterium. RNAcentral describes it as "partial 16S ribosomal RNA". It matches the Rfam family "Bacterial small subunit ribosomal RNA", at positions 524 to 776 of the family's 1533-position model. The record is from RNAcentral.